GACGAACGCUGGCGGCGUGCUUAACACAUGCAAGUCGAACGGAAAGGCCCUGCUUUUGUGGGGUGCUCGAGUGGCGAACGGGUGAGUAACACGUGAGUAACCUGCCCUUGACUUUGGGAUAACUUCAGGAAACUGGGGCUAAUACCGGAUAGGAGCUCCUGCUGCAUGGUGGGGGUUGGAAAGUUUCGGCGGUUGGGGAUGGACUCGCGGCUUAUCAGCUUGUUGGUGGGGUAGUGGCUUACCAAGGCUUUGACGGGUAGCCGGCCUGAGAGGGUGACCGGCCACAUUGGGACUGAGAUACGGCCCAGACUCCUACGGGAGGAAGAAGUGGGGAAUAUUGCACAAUGGGCGGAAGCCUGAUGCAGCAACGCCGCGUGCGGGAUGACGGCCUUCGGGUUGUAAACCGCUUUCGCCUGUGACGAAGCGUGAGUGACGGUAAUGGGUAAAGAAGCACCGGCUAACUACG
RNAcentral lists this ribosomal RNA (466 nucleotides) under uncultured bacterium. RNAcentral's name for it is "partial 16S ribosomal RNA". It matches the Rfam family "Bacterial small subunit ribosomal RNA", at positions 28 to 505 of the family's 1533-position model. The record is from RNAcentral.